AGAAAAAACAAUGGUGAGGAUGAUAUGCUGAAAACAAUUUUUCUUAUUUCUGUUCCGUUUUUCUGCAUUGACCUUAAUCUGUUCAGAAAAAUCUCGGCUCUUCUUCGAUUCUUCUUUCGUUUU
Non-coding RNA from Caenorhabditis elegans, 123 nucleotides. The record is from Ensembl. Lineage: Eukaryota; Metazoa; Nematoda; Chromadorea; Rhabditida; Rhabditidae.